RNAcentral lists this ribosomal RNA (429 nucleotides) under uncultured bacterium. RNAcentral's name for it is "bacterial SSU rRNA". It matches the Rfam family "Bacterial small subunit ribosomal RNA", at positions 355 to 775 of the family's 1533-position model. The record is from RNAcentral.
UGAGGAAUCUUGCGCAAUGGGGGAAACCCUGACGCAGCGACGCCGCGUGAGUGAGGAAGGUCUUCGGGUCGUAAAGCUCUGUCAGGCGGGAAGAAAUGCAUGGAGGUGAACAGCCGCCAUGCUUGACGGUACCGCCAGAGGAAGCACCGGCUAACUCCGUGCCAGCAGCCGCGGUAAUACGGGGGGUGCAAGCGUUGUUCGGAAUCAUUGGGCGUAAAGAGCGUGUAGGCGGCUUGGUAAGUCAGAUGUAAAAGCCCUGGGCUCAAACCGGGAAGUGCAUUUGAAACUGCCAGGCUCGAGUAGGGGAGAGGGAAGUGGAAUUCCUGGUGUAGAGGUGAAAUUCGUAGAUAUCAGGAGGAACACCGGUGGCGAAGGCGACUUCCUGGCCCUAUACUGACGCUGAGACGCGAGAGCGUGGGUAGCAAACAG